CUUUUCAACAUAGUAAGCGGUCAGAAAGCAAGCGAUGCACUGUGGAAGUAAGCUUCUACUUCUUCAACGAUAUGCCUUGGUGCCGAUCUGAAACAAUUGCAGUAGAGGAGGACAACGACGAAAGAUCCAUCCGCGAGGAACAAAGCAGAAGCCAUGAAACCAAUGAUGCCGUAGAAGUAGGCCUAGAUACAGAAAUUCCGAAAAAUGGCCCGACAAUCUAUUGGGAAAUUCUCCUGAAAAUGUCUACAAAUCUCAUUUUUAUCUCGAAAAACCUCGAAAUUUUUUGUAAAAGUCCUGAUCUGUCUCGAAAUUUAUUUUAAAAUAAUAACAUAAUUUGCAUGAAAUGCGAGAUUCCUGUGGUGAAACUGCAUGGAAGCACCUUCAAACUGAUUCAAAAUGAUUGGUUCGUCUCUUAACAUGUAUCUCUCAGACAAUGAUAACGACAAUAAACAGGUGGUGUAGUUAAGUUAUACAAACCACGUAAGUUUGUUUUUUAGGCUAUCGGCUGUAUUUUUCUAGACAUUAUCGUCUAAGAAUCCCUGAUGUUCCAAAAUCAUCGAAUUUUCUUAAAAUUCCGUUUGACUUUGAAAAUCCUGAAAAAAGUCCGGAUUUUGUUUCUAGCCGUACUAAAAGAAUCUUCUGGAUAUCAUUUUUCUUUCCUAUUUGUCAACGGGACUAACAGCUUUUCUUCGCAAGGAAAGAAAAGAGUCUAGUUGUAUGUAUUUAGUCUCUCAAGCGUUGAAUUUUUGUCAGUUUUUGAUAACCGUCAAUUGACAGAUAGUUCUUCAAAAAGCGUAGAUAAUGUUUUUACAGAAGCCCGAUUAGUUUUAGUGGCAGCUUUGCCGAACAAAACAAACCACGUACAGCUAGAUACUGAAUAAAAAGAUCCUCACUCAAUAAAACCUACAGUAUCUUCCGCUGGACCAUGUUAUCAUGUGAUUAGAGUCUCUCCAUCAUCAUGACGUGGAGGUGAUCGGCGACAAACGAGGGCAAAGAGAUAAUAAAUCGCUUCACAGAAGAACAAACUAGCAGCUAUGAAGCCACAAAUGCCUGAUCCAAUCAUUACAUCCCCUUUCACAUAGAUGUUGCCAUCAUGGUAUACAAUUCCAGAGCCAACAACUAAGGCAACCGAGAGGAGAAAACAUCCAACCAUUCCAAGCAGCGGUGGCACCUUCUCGAAGCAUCGUAAGCUUCUGAAAAUGAUGUGCAGAACCACGAAGACGAGCGCGCAGGUGGCUACGCCGACUUGAUAUUUGUAUUCUGACUUGUAGCGAUAGAACUCAUAGCUAAGCGUAAGAACAGCCGCUAAGAAAGUCGUUACCGUUUCGAUGAGUUUCACGCCUCCUUCUAUCGUGGUCACUAUCCACGCAAAAUUGCAACACCUUCGUGAAUUCAGUGACUCCUCCCUGUCAGCCAUAGCUGUUGUCUAUAUAUACUGAGAAUGGUAGAGUUACUAUAUGAGGUGGACUACGUCGGCUUCUCGGUAAACAUCCGCUGUUCGGAAUGGAGCCCGUGCUCCUUAUACAAAGUGACGAUUCCACACGAAGAUUCGCUGUGUUUUAUACUUCCCAGAUCCCACUGUGUGUUCGGACGGAAUGGAGAAGCAUUCCUGCUCGCCAUAACUUUUGUCUAUACAUACUAAGAAUGGUGGAGUGGGUAGAUGAGAAUGGGUUACGUCGGCUUUUCGAUAAACAUUCGUUGUUCAGAAAGGAGCCCGUGCUCCUCAAACAAAAUGACAGUUAGACGCGAAGAUUUGCUGUGUCGUUGACUCCCCCGAUCCUACUAACCAUCGGGAUAAAAAUAUGACAAGAUUACUCACUGACUAUAGUUUUUCAAAAUGAUCGAUACUAAUCGAGUGCCCAGAUCCUACCAUGUAACUGAAAUGAAGGAACUCUUCCACCGCUUGGACGUGGAAGGUCUUGGCAUGAGACUAGACUAAGCCUGACCCGAUUGUGCACAGCAACUUUUGACAUUUGGAGCAACUUUUAUCAACUUGCAGCAAUUUCGCUUUUCAGAGCAUUUUUUGGGCAAAAUAUAGGUUUAGAGCACUUAUCAAGCAUGAAAAAGUCGACGAUUUCAUAGAAAAAACUAACACAUAACUUGUCAAUUGGCAACGUUUCGCAGGCCUAUUGCAAACUUUAUCUAAUAUUGUCACAGAUAAUUGGCUAAAAUGACGUUCGGCGAGACGUCAAAUGAACGUUGCGUUUUGUCCUGUCAGACUUAAGUAUCCUUAAAUGUCGCUCAUGUUUGCGAGCAGCUAUUUAAAGCCAAGUUUCAAGCUAUUUUUCUUGACCAGCGGUAACAAUAAUUGCGAAUAAGUUAAAAUAAAGCCUUUAAUUAACGUUUA
Molecule: long non-coding RNA, 2347 nt
Organism: Pocillopora damicornis (cauliflower coral)
Lineage: Eukaryota; Metazoa; Cnidaria; Anthozoa; Scleractinia; Pocilloporidae
Source: RefSeq, a predicted model, not a curated record